Molecule: ribosomal RNA, 253 nt
Filed under: uncultured bacterium
Lineage: Bacteria
Description: partial 16S ribosomal RNA
Rfam family: Bacterial small subunit ribosomal RNA
Source: RNAcentral
UACGUAGGGUGCAAGCGUUGUCCGGAAUUAUUGGGCGUAAAGAGCUCGUAGGCGGUUUGUCGCGUCUGCUGUGAAAACUCGGGGCUUAACCCCGGGCCUGCAGUGGGUACGGGCAGACUAGAGUGCGGUAGGGGAGACUGGAAUUCCUGGUGUAGCGGUGAAAUGCGUAGAUAUUGGGAGGAACACCAGUGGCGAAGGCGGCUCACUGGACCGGUACUGACGCUGAUGCGCGAAAGCGUGGGGAGCAAACGGG